This 353-nucleotide transfer-messenger RNA is filed under the name Desulfococcus sp. 4484_241. It matches the Rfam family "transfer-messenger RNA". Rfam says of the family: Bacterial tmRNA, also known as 10Sa RNA or SsrA, is named for its dual tRNA and mRNA-like properties. Its role is to liberate the mRNA from a stalled ribosome. To accomplish this part of the tmRNA is used as a reading frame that ends in a translation stop signal. RNAcentral also lists the same sequence under 2 other names. The record is from RNAcentral. Lineage: Bacteria; Pseudomonadati; Thermodesulfobacteriota; Desulfobacteria; Desulfobacterales; Desulfococcaceae.
GGGGGCGAAACGGAUUCGACGGGGAUAAAGAGGUGCAGGUUGCAUGCCGGGUUCCGCCACCUCGUAAAAUGGCGGGCAUAAACAUAAUCGCAGACGAUUAUAACUACGCUGUAGCCGCUUAAGACGGCUGCCGUCCUGCAGUUUCCUUCCUGCGGAUUCUGUAAGGGCGUCGACUAUGCAGGAUAGCAGCCUGUUGAUGCCUGUAGACAUGGCUGCGAAAUCCCACAGGCUAUCCGCACAAAUUCUUGCCUGAACAGAAUUUGUGCCGGAGAAAACCCUUUGUUCAGGAUAAGCAUGUAGACGCCUGUACUGAAUAUUUCCGGACGCGGGUUCGACUCCCGCCGCCUCCACCA